CUAACGACGGCCCUGCGGACGCGUAAAUACUGUGGGUGCGCGCGUUGUGCGGAAUUACUGGGCGUAAAGUGCUCGUAGGUGGUUUGUCGCGUCGUCUGUGAAAUGCCGGGGCUCAACGCCGGGCGUGCAGGCGAUACGGGCAUAACUUGAGUACUGUAGGGGAGACGGGAAUUCCUGGUGUAGCGGUGAAAUGCGCAGAUAUCAGGAGGAACACCGGUGGCGAAGGCGGGUCUCUGGGCAGUAACUGACGCUGAGGAGCGAAAGCAUGGGUAGCGAACAGGAUUAGAUACCCUGGUAGUC
RNAcentral lists this ribosomal RNA (300 nucleotides) under uncultured Jeongeupia sp. RNAcentral describes it as "bacterial SSU rRNA". It matches the Rfam family "Bacterial small subunit ribosomal RNA", at positions 497 to 795 of the family's 1533-position model. The record is from RNAcentral. Lineage: Bacteria; Pseudomonadati; Pseudomonadota; Betaproteobacteria; Neisseriales; Chitinibacteraceae.